GACGGAUGGGGCUAGCGUUGUUCGGAAUUACUGGGCGUAAAGCGCGUGUAGGCGGCUCGGUAAGUCUGCUGUGAAAGUCCAGGGCUCAACCCUGGGAUGCCGGUGGAUACUGUCGAGCUCGAGUCCGGAAGAGGCGAGUGGAAUUCCUGGUGUAGCGGUGAAAUGCGCAGAUAUCAGGAGGAACACCAAUGGCGAAGGCAGCUCGCUGGGACGUGACUGACGCUGAGACGCGAAAGCGUGGGGAGCAAACAGG
This 253-nucleotide ribosomal RNA is filed under the name uncultured bacterium. RNAcentral's name for it is "partial 16S ribosomal RNA". It matches the Rfam family "Bacterial small subunit ribosomal RNA", at positions 524 to 776 of the family's 1533-position model. The record is from RNAcentral.